RNAcentral lists this long non-coding RNA (674 nucleotides) under Cricetulus griseus (Chinese hamster). Its description in RNAcentral is "lncRNA (ENSCGRG00015037497.1)". The record is from RNAcentral. Lineage: Eukaryota; Metazoa; Chordata; Mammalia; Rodentia; Cricetidae.
CCCUUGGGCUUGCUGUACAGACUGCUGCCCUGUGGGCUGGCUAGGUUGCUCUCUGCCACCAACCACUGCCAAACGCUGUGGACUAACUGAACGCCUGUGUUACCUGCUGGUCAAAGAUAGUUACUGCAUCUGGAGUAGAAAUCAGGUCCAGGGACCUGUUACUCCUCUGGCGUCCUACAUGUCAACUGCUCACCGUGUCACAGAAAAGAGAAGAGAAGAGAAGAGAAGAGAAGAGAAGAGAAGAGAAGAGAAGAGCGACAAGGCUUCACUGUGUAGCUUUGACUAUACUGGAAUUCACGUGAUGAUCUUGGACUCACAAAGAUCCAACUGCCUCUGCCUCCUGAGUGCUGGGAUUAAAAGAUGGUUAAGAAACACCAGAAAAGAUGGCUAAUAAAGAAAUGACUCUAGUUCUACAACAUGGAACUGAGAGCUCUCUGAAGAUGACAAGAUGCCUGUGUUUGAUCUUUAUCGCUGUUGGGUUACUGGGAGCUUCCAGGUCCACACACCCCCACUCAGGCCGAACCUCAUGGCUGUCGUGGGUUAAAGCUGAGACAAGCCGGGUCACGACAAAAUGGCGCCCGAACUCGGGGCCUGAGAAUGGGGGAAGAAGCCUUGGACACCACGAAACGGACAAGGCAGAGGCUUGGACUAUUCAAAGAGAUAGUCGUUGCAGG